Molecule: long non-coding RNA, 582 nt
Organism: Lathyrus oleraceus (garden pea)
Lineage: Eukaryota; Viridiplantae; Streptophyta; Magnoliopsida; Fabales; Fabaceae
Exons: 2
Source: RefSeq, a predicted model, not a curated record
ACUUCAAUUCUAAAAACAAUAUGUUCUAAAAAUCUAAUUUCUAAAAAUCCAAUUAAAAUUCUAAAAGUUUAUAAAACUAUAAUUAAUUAGUAUUUUAAUCUUCACUUUGACAUCUGAUGUAUUUCGAUCUUCACUUCGAAAUUCCUUCUCCCAUUCUCGAAGGAGCUUCAAGCGAAAGCCAAUAAACAUUUUUGAAUUUCAUGCUGAGAUCGAGUUCAUUCCUCAACUUUAUUCACUCCGAUUCGAAUCUUGACUCAAUAGCAACAACAGGUGAAACAUGGAAGGGUGAAUUUGCUUGCAUUGGACAUGGUUCGAAGAACUUGGCAUGCUUAGAAUGAUUAUGCACUAAUAGAAAUUAUAAUUUUGAAAUUUUGGUUUGUAACUUUGAAUGAAAAUGCUAUCAAUUAAAAUUAUAAACAUGGGUUGGCUUGUAAUCUGAAAAGUGAUAUGAUGACAUGAUAAGGUUUCUAAGAUCUAAAGUGACUAAAUACUUGUAUAAAUAAGGUGUCUCUCGAUCCAUGUUUUCUAUAAAACACACAACAACCAAAUAAUGAAUGCAUAUUCAUACCUUGUAUUUGUGUA